RNAcentral lists this ribosomal RNA (253 nucleotides) under uncultured bacterium. RNAcentral describes it as "partial 16S ribosomal RNA". It matches the Rfam family "Bacterial small subunit ribosomal RNA", at positions 524 to 776 of the family's 1533-position model. The record is from RNAcentral.
UACAGAGGGGGCGAGCGUUAUUCGGAAUUAUUGGGCGUAAAGGGCGCGUAGGCGGCCAUUCAAGUGACGGGUGAAAGCCCCCGGCUUAACUGGGGAGGGUCAUUCGAUACUGCUCGGCUCGAAGACAGGAGAGGGAAGUGGAAUUCCCGGUGUAGUGGUGAAAUGCGUAGAUAUCGGGAGGAACACCAGUGGCGAAGGCGACUUUCUGGCCUGUUCUUGACGCUGAGGCGCGAAAGCUAGGGGAGCAAACGGG